Molecule: ribosomal RNA, 301 nt
Filed under: uncultured bacterium
Lineage: Bacteria
Description: partial 16S ribosomal RNA
Rfam family: Bacterial small subunit ribosomal RNA
Source: RNAcentral
CAGUCGCCACGGGAAAACGGAGGGGGCUAGCGUUGUUCGGAAUUACUGGGCGUAAAGCGCACGUAGGCGGCUUUACAAGUCGGAGGUGAAAGCCUGGAGCUCAACUCCAGAAUUGCCUUUGAGACUGUAUCGCUUGAACACGGGAGAGGUGAGUGGAAUUCCGAGUGUAGAGGUGAAAUUCGUAGAUAUUCGGAAGAACACCAGUGACGAAGGCGGCUCACUGGACCGUUACUGACGCUGAGGUGCGAAAGCGUGGGGAUCAAACAGGAUUAGAUACCCCCGUAGUCCCUGUCUCUUAUAC